This 90-nucleotide transfer RNA is filed under the name Actinomycetospora succinea. Its description in RNAcentral is "tRNA-Ser". It matches the Rfam family "tRNA". Rfam says of the family: Transfer RNA (tRNA) molecules are approximately 80 nucleotides in length. RNAcentral also lists the same sequence under 16 other names. Lineage: Bacteria; Bacillati; Actinomycetota; Actinomycetes; Pseudonocardiales; Pseudonocardiaceae. The record is from RNAcentral.
GGAGGCUUCGCCUAGUCUGGUCUAUGGCGCCGCACUGCUAAUGCGGUUGGGAGUUCGGCUCCCUCCCGGGUUCAAAUCCCGGAGCCUCCG